RNAcentral lists this microRNA precursor (170 nucleotides) under Triticum aestivum (bread wheat). RNAcentral's name for it is "MIR2118 microRNA precursor family". It matches the Rfam family "MIR2118 microRNA precursor family". Lineage: Eukaryota; Viridiplantae; Streptophyta; Magnoliopsida; Poales; Poaceae. The record is from Rfam by way of RNAcentral.
GCCAGGAAGAGGAAAAAAGAGAUACUCUAAGAGCAUUAGGAACGGGAACAUGGAGGAAGUCCCAAGGUAUCCAUCCAGAAGUCUAGAACUUGAUGUGGAUUUUUUUCCCGUGCUUUGUAAUGCCUCCCAUUCCUAUCAUUUUUAGGUGCUCCUUCCUCUCCCAAUUAGUU